AAGUCGUAACAAGGUUUCCGUAGGUGAACCUGCGGAAGGAUCAUUAUCGUAGGGGCUUCGGCCCCCUGUCGAGAUAGGAACCCCUUGCCCUUUUAUGAGUACCGUCCCGUUUCCUCGGCAGGUCCGCCUGCCGAUGGACAAAAAAAUAAACCCCUUUAUCACCUGUAUCAGUCUGAAAAACAAAUAAAAAUUAAAA
This 196-nucleotide unclassified non-coding RNA is filed under the name plant metagenome. Its description in RNAcentral is "partial contains small subunit ribosomal RNA and internal transcribed spacer 1". The stretch from base 1 to 46 matches the Rfam family "Eukaryotic small subunit ribosomal RNA", at positions 1786 to 1831 of the family's 1831-position model. The record is from RNAcentral.